AUACGUAGGGGGCGAGCGUUGUCCGGAAUGAUUGGGCGUAAAGGGCGCGUAGGCGGCGCGGUAAGUCUGGAGUGAAAGUCCUGCUUUCAAGGUGGGAAUUGCUUUGGAUACUGCCGCGCUUGAGUGCAGGAGAGGUUAUCGGAAUUCCCGGUGUAGCGGUGAAAUGCGUAGAGAUCGGGAGGAACACCAGUGGCGAAGGCGGGUAACUGGGCUGCAACUGACGCUGAGGCGCGAAAGUGUGGGGAGCAAACAGGAUUAGAUACCCUGGUGGUCCACACUGUAAACGAUGAAUGCUAGGUGUAAGAGGUAUCGACCCCUUUUGUGCCGGAGUCAACACAAUAAGCAUUCCGCCUGGGGAGUACGGCCGCAAGGUUGAAACUCAAAUGAAUUGACGGGG
This 397-nucleotide ribosomal RNA is filed under the name uncultured bacterium. Its description in RNAcentral is "partial 16S ribosomal RNA". It matches the Rfam family "Bacterial small subunit ribosomal RNA", at positions 523 to 918 of the family's 1533-position model. The record is from RNAcentral.